RNAcentral lists this long non-coding RNA (431 nucleotides) under Malus domestica (apple). Its description in RNAcentral is "long non-coding RNA (MDOM_LNC015727)". The record is from RNAcentral. Lineage: Eukaryota; Viridiplantae; Streptophyta; Magnoliopsida; Rosales; Rosaceae.
UAUCCACAAGUAUCUAAACUUGUUAUUUGAGAAUUAAGUAAAAGGGCUUAUAUAGGUGCCGAGAAAUAUUGUGCGUUUUUACCAAGAAAAGCUAUCUGAUAGUUAUGGAAAGAUAACAUAUAUAUAUAUAUAUAGGCUUUUAACGAAAUUUCUAAGCAAUUUAAACAAAAUAGUUGCUCCAACAAAAGGAUAAAAAAAAAAAAACAAAAUGGUUGCUAUCAAAGCAGUCCACGCGGCAACAUCGUUGAUACCAAUGUCGGUGAUAAUGUAGUUCUUGUUACUGUUUUCAGCGUGUUGACUGGAGAUGUCCUAAGCUCAUUACACUAGUUCAUAAUUGUGUGAAUACAAAAGCAAUGAGCAAGUGCCUUUAAAUUGUCAAGUCAACUUCUAAUUGACUUCGUUUGAAAGUGCUUUUAAAAUGAAUAAAAGCG